Molecule: ribosomal RNA, 497 nt
Filed under: uncultured bacterium
Lineage: Bacteria
Description: partial 16S ribosomal RNA
Rfam family: Bacterial small subunit ribosomal RNA
Source: RNAcentral
GACGAACGCUGGCGGCGUGCCUAAUACAUGCAAGUAGAACGCUGAAGCGAGGAGCUUGCUCUUCUUGGAUGAGUUGCGAACGGGUGAGUAACGCGUAGGUAACCUGCCUUGUAGCGGGGGAUAACUAUUGGAAACGAUAGCUAAUACCGCAUAACAAUAGGUGACACAUGUCAUUUAUUUGAAAGGGGCAAUUGCUCCACUACAAGAUGGACCUGCGUUGUAUUAGCUAGUAGGUGAGGUAACGGCUCACCUAGGCGACGAUACAUAGCCGACCUGAGAGGGUGAUCGGCCACACUGGGACUGAGACACGGCCCAGACUCCUACGGGAGGCAGCAGUAGGGAAUCUUCGGCAAUGGGGGCAACCCUGACCGAGCAACGCCGCGUGAGUGAAGAAGGUUUUCGGAUCGUAAAGAUCUGUUGUAAGUCAAGAACGAGUGUGAGAGUGGAAAGUUCACACUGUGACGGUAGCUUAACAGAAAGGGACGGCUAACUACGUG